GACGAACGCUGGCGGCGUGCUUAACACAUGCAAGUCGAACGGAAAGGCCCUGCUUUUGUGGGGUGCUCGAGUGGCGAACGGGUGAGUAACACGUGAGUAACCUGCCCUUGACUUUGGGAUAACUUCAGGAAACUGGGGCUAAUACCGGAUAGGAGCUCCUGUUGCAUGGUGGGGGUUGGAAAUUUUCGGCGGUUGGGGAUGGACUCGCGGCUUAUCAGCUUGUUGGUGGGGUAGUGGCUUACCAAGGCUUUGACGGGUAGCCGGCCUGAGAGGGUGACCGGCCACAUGGGGACUGAGAUACGGCCCGGACUCAUACGGGAGGCAGCAGUGGAGAAUAUUGCACAAUGGGCGGAAGCCUGAUGCAGCAACGCCGCGUGCGGGAUGACGGCUUUCGGGUUGUAAACCGCUUUCGCCUGUGACGAAGCGUGAGUGACGGUAAUGGGUAAAGAAGCACCGGCGAACUACGU
Molecule: ribosomal RNA, 467 nt
Filed under: uncultured bacterium
Lineage: Bacteria
Description: partial 16S ribosomal RNA
Rfam family: Bacterial small subunit ribosomal RNA
Source: RNAcentral